AAGCUGUUAUUUGUCAGAGAACUUACCAGUUUUUAAAUUUGCAGAGCAAUUUCUACUCCUUUUAAGCAAUGAUUUUAUACUCUUCUGAGUUUCAAAUUUUUUAUUUGGAAAAUGAAUAUUUAAUACAUCACAUUCUCACAUAAUCUCCUUCAAAAGGGAACACAUUUGGGUUGUAACUUCAGACUAUUUCAUCAAAGAAUUCCUUUAGCUGUGAUCUCCAAUGAGAUGGGAGUUCCAUAGUCCUCCAAUCGAUGCCCACUGUUUCAAUAUACAAAAUGGUACAACAUUAACAGCAAGUACUCAUAUUGAAAGCAUUUAAAUAGUGCAAUAAUCAAGUAUAUUGAUUGUCAAUUUUACUAACAUUGUUUGCUUUAAAAUGUGGGAAAGCUCCACUCUCCCACCCCAUAUGGCUAAACCUCAGAGAAUGUCCUAAAACCAAUAGUAUCCAGCCGCUGUUCACACACAAGCAAACACUGUGUCUGCAGCCAUGAUAAGGAAAUAAUUUUCCCCAAAACAAAGACAAACAGAAAAGAUAAAAAGGAAACAGGACAUUUUACUCUUUAUGCGUUCAGAUGAAAAUUAAAGCACUUGGGAUUGAUUUGUGCCCCGCUGGAGUGACCUCAAUUUUUACAAAGUUAUCUUAGGAAUUUGCCACUCCAAAACCAAGAUUAGAGUCUUAAUUUAAAGUGUAAAACCUGUGUUUAAACCACACACUAGUUUUCCUUGCAACAAUUGUAAACCAACAACACAAGUAAAAGCAGAGACAGGAAGGAAGGUGGUGGCUAAACAUCUCAGCCGUUCUGAUGCCUUUGAUGUUAUGAACCAGUAUCAGGCUGAAGAUAACUCAACUUCUAUUCCUUAAGUUGCUUUCACUUAUUGUAUUCACAGUCUUGAUAAAUAGCCAUAACUUAGUCAAAUAUUCAGGAGCACCUCCACACAAACACAAUACACACACAUACACACACACACACACAUACACACACACACACACACACACACACACACACACACACAUCUACUGUAACUUUUAAGCCCCCCUCUAAUAUACAACUCCAAAUGUAACAUUUACAGAGUGUGUUGGCAUUAUUUCCCAGUUCUACAUGAAAGUGCUCCCCUUCAAGAUGGAUGGACAGAAAGCUGGAAGGAGAUCAUUAAGUCCAGCAAAUAAUACUUGCAAGUCUCAUGUCUACAUGUCUGCUACAGUGAACACCACGCAAGUAUGCAGUAUACAUAACACAAAUAAAAGGUAGUAAAGUAUUUUUUAAAAGUAAUAAAAUUUUAUAUGCAUGCAACGGGUAAAACUGAAGCCUCUGACUUUCUUGGGAUAUUAUUGCAUUUUAUAUGUGCUUACCAAAGAACAAACAUAACAAUUUAUAUUUAAAUUCUAAAAUUUACUUGUAUCUUAAUACAAAGGUGACUGCUCCAGCUUCACAAAAUUUUGUCUCAUAAUUAAAAGCAAAAUAUCCAUUAGCAGAAAUGUAUUUUUAACAUAACUUUGCACAAAAGCUAGUGGGUACUGAUGAAUGUUUAACUUCACACAGAGAAUGUCCCAUUACUUAAUUUGAAAAAAUUAUACUAAUUUGUCUUCUGAUUUAUUGUUUACUCCAAAUAAUAUCUGUUUGUGGGUCAAUUCUGUAAAGGAUUAUCAGUAACCCUUUAUAUUCAGUGUAUAUUUUAAUAUUCUGGUCACUGGUCACCACACACAGAAGUGGUAUGUGUGUCUGUCUGUCUAUCUGUCUGUCUGUCUGUCUGUCUGUCUGUCUUUCUGUAUGUGUCUGUGUGUGUUACAAACUAUAAUCCAUCCUUCCCUUAACACUAUUAAACACAGGCAAGCAAACCACCAUUUGUCACUCCUUUGCAUAUUAACCUCUACCAUCAUCAACCAAAGCAAAGGGCUAGACUUAAAAAUCCUCCCCUCUCUAAGCUCUCCCUUACUGAUUCAAUUAGCUUAAAAUUUUGCUGGAACACUUAGCUUAGUCUCCAUAUUUCCCCAGGCAUAAUGGAACAAUUUAUGCCUCACUCUAUAAAAGGUUUGUGCAUGACUUGGUUUACUCCUGAGAAACACAAGGCCUAAAAGGCAGGAAGAUCUACCCACCCUGAAGGAGUGCUUUCAGGACAGGAUCAUGUUUUUAUAUUUGCAAUGCACCAUUUAAGAGCUACUGUGGUUUUCUGAAGUUCCAUUUGUGGGGCACUAAAUAUGGGGCCAUUCUCUUUUUUAAUGCUGCUUUAUGCUACAUUAUACUACUAUAUUCCAAAUUGAUUUUUUUAACUUUUCCUCCUUAAAAUAAAAGACAUCUAAGUUCCCUGGGGACAGGAUUCUUGUACUCUCUCUGUUUUAAUGCUCUGCUACUUUCAGGAUAGAGCUAAAUUACUUCACAACUGCAUAAAUAUCAGCCAACAUUCCACAGCCAAACUCACAGCAAACACCCAAUUUAGGCAAGGAUUUCUUAGUAUAGCUGUUUGGUUUAAUAACUACAGGAUGCUACCUCCUCUGCAAAGAUUUCCAAAAUGUAAACUAAGCACUCCUGUCAAAUGUUAACAAAAAAUACUUUUCUUUCUCUUUGGAAAGUUUAAAGAUUCACAUUAAGAACUGGAGACAUAAGUUGUUGGUAGAGUGCUUCCUAGCCUUCUGAAGGUCCUGGGUUCAAACUCAAACACCAUAAACACACUCACACACAUAUACACACACUCACACACGUGUGUGUACACACUGAGGGAGAGGUAAGGGGAGAAUCUUACAUUAGAAGUACACAUUUAAGGAUACAAUUGUUUAAAAAGUUUACCUUAUCACAUCUAAAUAAUAGCCAUUAAAAGUAUAUUUAAUACAAAAUUCAAAAUGAAAUGUAAAAAACUUGCCAGUCUUGGUCCUACCCCCUGAGAACUCAUCAGGACAAUGCAGGAGAGCUCGCCCUGUGGUGAAGACAGGGGAGAGCUGGCAGGCAGCCCAACCCUUUAACUACCCAAGCCCAGAACCAGGGUUAUGACUUGACUCACCCCAACAUCAGUCCAAUCUACGAUCUUCUGGAGCAUGUGUAGGGGCCAGUUCUGCAGACUCAAAGAUGUAGGAUCUCCACAACACAAGGCAACAACAAGAUAUCCAAGAUGAGUCCCAGUCAGGGCCCAGCAUCAACAGUGUAGCAGAAACCAGAGGCCUCAAACCAUACCAAUGACUCUGCAAUGAACACUUGCAAGUGAAGAUAUAUGGGUAAAGGGUUUACUGCAUGACUCACUGUAUCACACUACAGCUACCAUGACGAGAUUGAGUUUUUCCUUCUUGUUUUUUUUCUUUUUUCUCUUAAAUUGCAAGGGCAGAGGGUAGAUAUGCAGGGACAGGGAAAUAAAAGGGACCAAGAUGCAUGAUGUGAAAGAUAGGAAGAAUAAAUGAAAAGAAAACAAAGAAAUCAAGAGGAAAAAACAGAAAAUAUGCCAGUCUAAUAUUCAUCAUGCUUGAAAAAUGAUAGUACCAGCAUGUCUUUCUAAAAGAAUGACAAGAGAAAAUAGAGUUGGAAAACCCCCCUGAUGAUCAAAUAGAAUGAAGUGAUUUACUAUGUAAUAAAGAAUUCAAAUGGAUGAACUACAUGGUCAGAAAUUGCAAAGCUAUGUGUUGGUCAGGUCAGGGCUAAAACCCUAGUUAAUGACUCCAAGCCCAGUCAUUUUAAUUACUACUAGAGCACAAGGAGUAAUUUAUACAAAUGGUACAGCACUCUUCCAGUGUCCUCUAUAGCCAUGAUAUGUAAGACACACAGGGACCCAUGGUCAUCAUCAACAAACAUCAGUCAUAAUUUUUGAAUACAGAGAUUUAGGUCAAAAGUGAAAAGAUUCUGGAAACUUGAACAUAUGUCAAGAGUUUCCUCUCUGCCGCAAAACUAGAAGAGAUAUCACUCUCUGUGGAAAGAAGCCUCCUAGCACAAUGGACCAUGGAGUGGCAUUUCAGAGAAACAAAGAGCUGUGGGUGGGAUGCAAGUCAGUGCACAUCAGGCUUUAUUUCCUGGGAAUGGAAGAGAAAAGGAAACCCAAGAGUAUGCAGAUCAUGCCAGGAAUUCCAUUUUGGAAGGAGGAUACUGUCUUCAAAGCAGCCAAUGACUCCCACUUCCCUUUGCUUUGAUAUACAGCCCAUCACCAGCUUCAUUAAAACUAUCCCCCAUCUUUUAUAACCUGAAGAUCUGAUCCCAAAUAAUUCUGUGGAAAUACCACGUCUCUUGGGACAAGUGAUAAAAUGAUGUUUCAUCUGUAUGUCAACAUGAGCAAAAGUGUCCAUUGAAAGGGGCUGGACGGAAACACGGUAGAGUCAAACAUUAUAAAUGAACAUUCUUUCUCCACUGUCUUCGAAAGAGAAGAAAAGAAUUUGUGGCCAGAUAAGGAGCCCAAGCCUGAGAUACUAUAGCAUUUUACAGCUUAGGGUCACCAGGAGGGGGACAGAGGGAGGGCAGGAUGGAGGAGUUAAGCAAGUGCUAGGCCAAGAAUUGACAGGGGAAAUGUGUGGUGUUGGUCCUUGGAGGCUGUGGGGUGAGAACAGG
RNAcentral lists this long non-coding RNA (4517 nucleotides) under Cricetulus griseus (Chinese hamster). RNAcentral's name for it is "lncRNA (ENSCGRG00015034530.1)". Lineage: Eukaryota; Metazoa; Chordata; Mammalia; Rodentia; Cricetidae. The record is from RNAcentral.